RNAcentral lists this transfer RNA (87 nucleotides) under Escherichia coli. RNAcentral's name for it is "tRNA-Leu". It matches the Rfam family "tRNA". Rfam says of the family: Transfer RNA (tRNA) molecules are approximately 80 nucleotides in length. The record is from RNAcentral. RNAcentral also lists the same sequence under 4 other names. Lineage: Bacteria; Pseudomonadati; Pseudomonadota; Gammaproteobacteria; Enterobacterales; Enterobacteriaceae.
GUGAAGGUGGCGGAAUUGGUAGACGCGCUAGCUUCAGGUGUUAGUGUUCUUACGGACGUGGGGGUUCAAGUCCCCCCCCUCGCACCA